Molecule: unclassified non-coding RNA, 229 nt
Filed under: Hevea brasiliensis (rubber tree)
Lineage: Eukaryota; Viridiplantae; Streptophyta; Magnoliopsida; Malpighiales; Euphorbiaceae
Source: RNAcentral
GUCAGAUUUUGUUGCCGGAAGAAAUGAGGCUGAAGCACUUGAUGUCAUGAAUAUAUUCUCAGAAGCUCUAGAAGGUUCUAACUUGAAGUUUCUGAAUCUCUCUGAUAAUGCUCUUGGUGAGAAGGGAGUUAGGGCAUUUGGAAAGCUCCUUCAGUCUCAAACCAACUUGGAAGAAUUAUUUUUGAUGAAUGAUGGGAUUUCACAGGAAGCUGCAAAUGCUGUUAGCGAG